CAGCCGCCACGGUAAUACGUAGGGUGCGAGCGUUAAUCGGAAUUACUGGGCGUAAAGCGCGCGUAGGUGGUUUGUUAAGUUGGAUGUGAAAUCCCCGGGCUCAACCUGGGAACUGCAUUCAAAACUGACUGACUAGAGUAUGGUAGAGGGUGGUGGAAUUUCCUGUGUAGCGGUGAAAUGCGUAGAUAUAGGAAGGAACACCAGUGGCGAAGGCGACCACCUGGACUAAUACUGACACUGAGGUGCGAAAGCGUGGGGAGCAAACAGGAUUAGAUACCCCUGAGUCCCUGUCUCUUAUACA
This 301-nucleotide ribosomal RNA is filed under the name uncultured bacterium. RNAcentral describes it as "partial 16S ribosomal RNA". It matches the Rfam family "Bacterial small subunit ribosomal RNA", at positions 509 to 808 of the family's 1533-position model. The record is from RNAcentral.